GACGAACGCUGGCGGCGUGCUUAACACAUGCAAGUCGAACGGAAAGGCCCUGCGUUUGUGGGGUGCUCGAGUGGCGAACGGGUGAGUAACACGUGAGUAACCUGCCCUUGACUUUGGGAUAACUUCAGGAAACUGGGGCUAAUACCGGAUAGGAGCUCCUGCUGCAGGGCGGGGGUUGGAAAGUUUCGGCGGUUGGGGAUGGACUCGCGGCUUAUCAGCUUGUUGGUGGGGUAGUGGCUUACCAAGGCUUUGACGGGUAGCCGGCCUGAGAGGGUGACCGGCCACAUUGGGACUGAGAUACGGCCCAUACUCCUACGGGAGGCAGCAGUGCGGAAUAUUGCACAAUGGGCGGAAGCCUGAUGCAGCAACGCCGCGUGCGGGAUGACGGCCUUCGGGUUGUAAACCGCUUUCGCCUGUGACGAAGCGUGAGUGACGGUAAUGGGUAAAGAAGCACCGGCUAACUACGUG
RNAcentral lists this ribosomal RNA (468 nucleotides) under uncultured bacterium. Its description in RNAcentral is "partial 16S ribosomal RNA". It matches the Rfam family "Bacterial small subunit ribosomal RNA", at positions 28 to 507 of the family's 1533-position model. The record is from RNAcentral.